UGAACCGGAUAUACCUGUUCAUCAACUAGUGGCCUAAAUAAUGUAUCUGACAGAAAAGUUCUAUCCAUCACUUUUUAAUUGUAUCUCUCUAACAUUUAUGAUUUCAAACAAGGAAGCAGAGCUAUAACAAAGCAGCCUCUGAAAAUUGUUGGCCGAUUGAUUGUUCGCAAGUUACAGGUAAAUGUCUCUCAAUUUUAAUCUGUGUGUUUUGCUCUCUCUAUCUGGAUCAAUAAUUUUCUAGGGUUUUUUUUUUUUUUUUCUGGUUUUUCUACAAUCUGUUUGGUUGAAUGAGAACAAUAGAAAAUUAAGAGAUAUACUUGGUGCAGUUUUCUGCAACUGCCCCUGCUAAUAGCGAUUUGUCGCUUUGGAGAUCUGUGUUUAAGGAACUUCAUAACUUCUUUAUUGCUUCGUCAAUUCAGUACACUAAGUCAAUGAUUAGGUUCAGAACUUUAUGAUGUGUUUAGGUUACGUAAAUUUCUUCUGAUUUAUCUACUGUUGGGCUAGCAUGUAUAAAUUGCUGUUCCAAUGAUGUCUUGGUUUUCUUGAAGUUUGGUCUUUGAACAGAGGGUUUCAUAUUGAAGCCCCAUUACCUUACCACCCCCAAAUUGCUACGUUAUAGGGGCUUCAUGAGUUUUUUGGGGCUACUGUGUUGAUUGUCACUUCCCUGUGAAUUCCACGUUCUCAUAUGAUUAGAGCCCUAAAACGUAUCCUGGAACUUACCACACACCUCUCUCUCUCUCUCUCUCUCUCUAUAUAUAUAUAUAUAUAUAUUUUUUUUUUUUCCGAAAAGUUAAGCAAUUUAUAUAAUGAAAAUGAUGCAUUGAGACAAGGCCCAAAAAGGGAAAAUGUAAAAGAUACAAGACCAUGAAAAGGUCCAACACAAAUUCAACCUAACCAACCCCAACAAGUCCAAGAGACCAAGAGGCCCAAAAACCCUGAAGCCAAACAACUUUAAGUUGUAACUGUAAGUUGCUCAGCAAUCACCAACUCCGGCAAGACAAGCCAUGUCUGGCAUCAAGCAACCUCACUGCUGCAAUGGUGGCUCAUCCGGAGGACGAGGAGGCGGACGGAUGAAGGAAGAGGGAAGAUCCCAGACCUGACGGGCACGUCGAGCAGCCACCCCAUGCUUGAGUGACAAGGGCAAGAGUCUUUCUCUGAUGGAAUUAGUGAUAUUCAACAGGACAGAGUUUUGAUUGCUUGAUAUGUCCUUGAAGAUUCUUGAAUUCCUCUCUACCCAGAUGUGAUAAAUGGAUGCUGAAAGUGCCAGUUUGUUAAUAGCAUUUGCAAUGCUCUUUGAUGACCAGUGAUGUGAAGCCCAAAAAAUGAAAUCAUUCCACUGAGAUCUUGUGUAAAAUCCACAUAUGUUUUGUAAGUGGGACCAAAUUGGAGCAGUGAAUGAGCAUGAGAAGAAGAUGUGAUUCAGGGAUUCUCCAGAGGAUAGGCAUAGUGCAGUGGUUCGGUAUGAGCUUGUAUGCCAUGGUAUGGCUAUCAAGUGUGGGAAGUUUGUUUAGAACUGCUAGCCACAGGAUGACUCUAUGUCUUGGGAUUAACAGUGAAUUCCAUACUAGCUGAUACCAUGGGGCAGGGGGAGCAGGUAGAGCUAGUGCUUCAAUUGUGUGCUUGAGAGAGUACUUGCCUGUUGAUGAUGGCCUCCAGAUGAAUGAAUCAAUACCUGAACCAGCAAAGGGAAUGUGUUGCAGGCUUGGUAGAAGUGAGAUUAUGUUUCUUGGGAAGUUCCAUGUAUGUGCUGACAUAUAACCAUUCAGUCUAGCAUUGAGAGGGAUUCCAGAAGUGUCAAUUUGAGCAUGGGAGAAUCUGUUGCAAAGAGGGCUGUCCUCUAACCAAUUGUGAUGCCAGAAGAUCAUUGAGGAUGCAAAAGACUCUUGGGGGCACAAUUUGCCUCGAUAUAUGGAGCAUGCAAGAGGUCAGCCAGCCCAUUGGGAAAGAAGGUGGGACUUUGGCCCAGUUUCUUGGUACUGUAGCAUGGAAAGGUGACUUGUUGCCACUCACUUGCUCUGUUAGAGCAAAAUACCAAAUGCAUCUUUGGAGGUCGUUGGGAAAAUAGUUUUGAUAUGAUAAACAGACUAUUUUUCUCUUUGCAAAUGAUAAUAUUAAUGUUAAAAUUGAUAUUAAAUUGUUUACUUCUAUGGUGUGUGAGAAGUUUGAUCUUCCACCAUAUGCUAGAGAUUGGGUGGUACUAUCUAUUGCUAACAAGUGGAAGGAUUGGAAGGCAGAGCUGAUGAGGAAGCGUUACAUGACACAUGAGAUUGACGAAGAACGUCUAGCAGAUUGGGAUGAUCCAGUCCUUCCAGAUCAAUGGCGGUUACUUUUGGAACUCUGUCGAGGGACAGAAUCAGUUCAAAGAACGAGCAAGCCAGCAACCAACACAAUCUGCUGUAGCUAGGGAUGACUUAUUCUCUCAAGUUAUGGGAGAAGAAAGACAUGGUAGGUUCUGACUCCAUCAGAUUUGUUGGCAUUCAGAUUAGAAGGGAAUCCAAUGAAGAGGUGCGUGUGUUAAAAGAGCAUAUGUAGAUAGUUAUGAAGAUUGCACAAUUGGAGGGGGAAAAGAACACUAAUAACUCAGACCAACAAGCUCCUACUAAAUCAUAUCCUCAACCUUCUAACUAUUUGGAUUCCCAACAGGAAGGAGAAGAAAAAACAAAAUCGAAGCCAUUAGACAUCCUUCACGAUCUCAUUUCUUCUCAUCAGUUGCAUCACUUGCAAUGACUCCCUGACUUCAAGACUCGUUGUUUGGUACAAUGGUAAAAUCGGGUUGUCAAGUAUGUUGAUAUAUGUGCUUUUUAUAUCUGCAGGUUCAGGGUCUGAUUGAAGUUCUCUUGUUGAGUUCCGAAACCCUACUUUUGUCAAUGGUUUCUUACUUAGAGUAGUUCCCGUUGUGGCAUAAGGAGCUAUUCUAAGUAAGAAUCCGGUGUCAAAAAUAAGGGACAUUGAACUGGGAAGCAAAAAUUUUGGUACCGAUAGCACGACAAGAGCCUUUACCGAGACUGGAUGAGCGUUUGAAAGUAGUUGGUGAUUCUGGUGGUGCAAGUGUUGCUUCGCCAUCUUCUCGUGUACGUUCUUCUCAGUUCUCUGUCAAUUGUUUUUUCAAAGAAAGAGGAACAAAAUAUUGUCAUUCCACUUUCUAAGUUCUGUUAAAUUUGUAUCUUUCAGUUCCUUUCCAUCCUGCCAAGGUUUUUUCGCUAGAAUUUAAUCCUAGAACAACAUAUUAUUUCA
This is a long non-coding RNA of Cornus florida, 3234 nucleotides long. RefSeq lists it as uncharacterized. Lineage: Eukaryota; Viridiplantae; Streptophyta; Magnoliopsida; Cornales; Cornaceae. The record is from RefSeq and is a predicted model, not a curated record. The transcript has 4 exons.